CCAAGAAACCAACAACCAUCUAGAAAAGUAUUUGACCAUGCAAAUGAUCAAUUUUACCCGCAAUACACAGCCUGGUCUAUAUGUGGCGGAAUUUGCUUAAUCUCGGUUCCUAGCUCUUGUUCAAUUCUAUACAAAUUGAAGCGAUCCUCAAAAGUAAUUAGGUUGACAGCUAAACCCAGGUGACCGAAUCUCCCAGACCGCCCAACCCUGUGUAAAUAUGUUUCUGAGUUCUUUGGGAAAUCAAAGUU
This 248-nucleotide unclassified non-coding RNA is filed under the name Hevea brasiliensis (rubber tree). The record is from RNAcentral. Lineage: Eukaryota; Viridiplantae; Streptophyta; Magnoliopsida; Malpighiales; Euphorbiaceae.